This is a non-coding RNA of Peromyscus maniculatus bairdii (prairie deer mouse), 858 nucleotides long. The record is from RefSeq and is a predicted model, not a curated record. Lineage: Eukaryota; Metazoa; Chordata; Mammalia; Rodentia; Cricetidae.
UAUUACUCUCAUUUGCUAAUAAAAAGCUGAUUGGCCGAUAGCUGGGCAGGAAGAGAUUGAGCACAAGAGCCAGAGCAGGAGAAUUCUGGGAAGAGGAAGGGCGGAGUCAGAGAGCUGCCGGCAGCCGCAGAGAGGCAAGAUGAGAAUGCAGUACUGAGAAAAGGUACCGAGCCACACGGCUGAGCAUAGUAACAAGCCUGAGAUACUGACCAAGCAUUUACAAUUAAUUGACAGAUACACUGUCUCCAGGAUACGUCAGGAACCUGACCUCAGUCCUGACAAUACUGAGCUGUCUGCAGAACACCAUGGCCGACUGUACAGAAAAAGCUGUGGAGCGUUUUCCCUGAGUGAGGAGGGACUGAAAAGGCUUCUGACCAUCUGGAACUGGCUGAAAACAGAGGGAAGCCUCAAAACUGGUACAGAUCUGUAUGAAAAGCAAAGGACAUUCCUAAGACAAUGAAAAAGACUUCGCAUUGGACCGUCUGCUUCCCGACAGUCAUUACAUCUCGUUUUGGGCCCUCACACGCGAAGGGAAAGAGUACCUGGAUCCAGUGGACUCCUAAGUCUGCACCCCCACGGCAAGGAUAGAAGCCGAAGAACCCUCCUCUGGCCAACCUCACAUCCCAUGCAUCCACCCACGUCGCUGGGAAGGUGGCUGGUGCCCGCACCGAGCCCACAACAAGCUUCCACGACCCCAACUAACUGCUUCUCCGGGGCCCUUCCUGUUCCUCUGCGCGGGGCAGCUCUGCGCGGGGAGGCACGGCUCCCUCUCGGGUUCCUGCAGCCCGAGCGGCGGCCUUGAAGAUGCCCACGCCACUGCGGGGUCCGCCACGCAGGGGACCCCGCGCCCGGCCCGGC